Molecule: ribosomal RNA, 178 nt
Filed under: Escherichia coli
Lineage: Bacteria; Pseudomonadati; Pseudomonadota; Gammaproteobacteria; Enterobacterales; Enterobacteriaceae
Description: partial 16S ribosomal RNA
Rfam family: Bacterial small subunit ribosomal RNA
Source: RNAcentral
UUAAAUUGAAGAGUUUGAUCAUGGCUCAGAUUGAACGCUGGCGGCAGGCCUAACACAUGCAAGUCGAACGGUAACAGGAAGCAGCUUGCUGCUUCGCUGACGAGUGGCGGACGGGUGAGUAAUGUCUGGGAAACUGCCUGAUGGAGGGGGGUAACUACUGGAAACGGUAGCUAAUACC